Molecule: small nuclear RNA, 132 nt
Organism: Acomys russatus (golden spiny mouse)
Lineage: Eukaryota; Metazoa; Chordata; Mammalia; Rodentia; Muridae
Source: RefSeq, a predicted model, not a curated record
AUGUUAUAUAAAAGGAGAGAAGGGUAACAUUCUCCUUGGCAAAGAUGGGUGAGACUCUUGGGCUUAACAACAUUAACAAAAUGAUUAAGGCAGUGCCACGUACUUGAUAGCACCUGACAACAUUUUAUUUAU